RNAcentral lists this ribosomal RNA (420 nucleotides) under uncultured Actinomycetes bacterium. RNAcentral describes it as "bacterial SSU rRNA". It matches the Rfam family "Bacterial small subunit ribosomal RNA", at positions 9 to 423 of the family's 1533-position model. The record is from RNAcentral. Lineage: Bacteria; Bacillati; Actinomycetota; Actinomycetes.
GAGUUUGAUCGUGGCUCAGGACGAACGCUGGCGGCGUGCUUAACACAUGCAAGUGGUGCGACGAACCAGGGCUUGCCCUGGGGCAAAGCCGCGAACGGGUGAGUAACACGUGAGUAACCUGCCCCGAUGACCGGGACAACCCGAGGAAACUCGGGCUAAUACCGGAUGUGGCGCACAGACCCAAGUCUGUUCGCUAAAGGAAGCUUCGGCCUCCGCAUUGGGAGGGCUCGCGGCCCAUUAGCUUGUUGGUGGGGUAACGGCCUACCAAGGCAACGAUGGGUAGCUGGUCUGAGAGGACGAUCAGCCACACUGGGACUGAGACACGGCCCAGACUCCUACGGGAGGCAGCAGUGGGGAAUCUUGCGCAAUGCGCGAAAGCGUGACGCAGCAACGCCGCGUGGGGGAAGACGGCCUUCGGUU